GGAUUGUAGUCUGCAACCCGACUACAUGAAGCUGGAAUCGCUAGUAAUCGCGGAUCAGAAUGCCGCGGUGAAUACGUUCCCGGGUCUUGUACACACCGCCCGUCACACCAUGGGAGUCGGAAAUGCCCGAAGUCGGUGACCGAACCGAAAGGAAGGAGCCGCCGAAGGCAGGUCUGGUGACUGGGGUGAAGUCGUAACAAGGUAAC
RNAcentral lists this ribosomal RNA (206 nucleotides) under uncultured bacterium. RNAcentral describes it as "partial 16S ribosomal RNA". It matches the Rfam family "Bacterial small subunit ribosomal RNA", at positions 1295 to 1500 of the family's 1533-position model. The record is from RNAcentral.